RNAcentral lists this non-coding RNA (29 nucleotides) under Mus musculus (house mouse). The record is from RNAcentral. Lineage: Eukaryota; Metazoa; Chordata; Mammalia; Rodentia; Muridae.
UGAGGUCCUACUGAGGUGAUGUUUGUGAA